Pichia membranifaciens is the source of this 100-nucleotide small nucleolar RNA. It matches the Rfam family "Small nucleolar RNA snR73". NCBI's taxonomy places the organism in Eukaryota, Fungi, Ascomycota, Pichiomycetes, Pichiales, Pichiaceae. The record is from Rfam.
GUAUAUGAUGAAAAACAUCACGACGGUCAACUGUAAUCCGCUUUAUUAAGUUGGAUGUUUGAUGACAAAACCUGGCUCUAAACCAGCCGUUUCACUGAAA